RNAcentral lists this unclassified non-coding RNA (1272 nucleotides) under Hevea brasiliensis (rubber tree). The record is from RNAcentral. Lineage: Eukaryota; Viridiplantae; Streptophyta; Magnoliopsida; Malpighiales; Euphorbiaceae.
UGGAAUUCAAUUAUUUUUUAAUGCAAAUCAAUAAAUAUUAUACAAAAGGAUCAUAUGCGUACAUCAAACAAAAAAAAAUAAAAGCUAAAAUAGGAGCAGAGGAGACAUUGCAUACAAAUAAAUCUUGAAGGACCUAUCACUGGCACCGUUUCCUUAUUCACCUAACCCAACUAUUUGCUUCGAUCCUACUUGCUAGAUAUUCGAAAAACCCAAAAUGUUCAAGGAAAAUCCUUUUUGAUUGUUCUUUGAAAUAACUCGGGCUUGACUCAACAUUCAACUCAAAAUGUAAAACAUUAUAACUCACAAUACACACUUCUAAGUUUCCAACAUCAGUGCUAAAUUAACCAGUAACUGUUAGGCAGUAUGGUUAAUUUCCUCAUGAACUAUGGCCUUUGGGAACCUUUACUUUCACCACAACCCAUAAUAGAGGAAGGCAAUUUUCCUACCCUGUCAAUCCCUUCCUCAAACACCACUCCCAUGCCCAUAAAGAAAUGUGACUCAAUAUGGCAAUGAAAUAACCAGGCGCCUGGAUUAUCUGCCUUAAAUCUCAAAGCAGUCCAACCAUAAGGAUGAAGAGGCACAGUAUUCUUCAUGAUGGGAUCCACCAAAUUGAACUUGUUCUGGUCAUUAUUUAUGUCAAACUUACCCUUUCCAUAACCUAGAACCCAGAAGUCAUGCCCAUGGAGAUGCCAAGGAUGUGUCUCGCUAGUGUUAUUACUCAUGGAAUUUGCAUUUUGUAAAAUAAUAUCUACUGUUGCGUUGAAGUCAAGGCGAUAAAUGGCAUCGCUAGUGGUAGCAUUUGUGUUCUUUGAAACAUUAUGAAUAUCAUAAUUCUGGUAGUCAUACCCAAUAGGAGGAGGGACUUGGCUGAACACAUGGUUCAUUUUGAGCUUCAGUGCUACAAGGUAAGGGGUGUGUGGGAGGUUGAAGGAGACAUUAUUCACUGACCAUCUAACAUAACCGUUCACAUGAUUUUGUGUGUUGAGCAUUACUAUAGUUGUAUCUGCGGUUUGGGGAGGUGUGUGGAUGUGAUCUUUAUGAGCUUUAAGGGCUAGACUUUGAGCAAACCUUGGUUCAACAUCAUCCCAUACAGGGCCAGAUGGUGGAGUAUUAGAAAGAAAUCUCCGGGGAUGGUUUGGAUAGUAGUUAAAGAUGGCUUGGCCUGGUGGGGUUGAUGGUUUUCUACUAACAACGUUGGUGGUCAUCCAAUAGUUUCUGGAGGGAUCUUUGUCAGCUUUUACUAAAACAGAGUAUGUCUCACCAGAGUAUAUG